RNAcentral lists this ribosomal RNA (458 nucleotides) under uncultured bacterium. RNAcentral's name for it is "partial 16S ribosomal RNA". It matches the Rfam family "Bacterial small subunit ribosomal RNA", at positions 338 to 795 of the family's 1533-position model. The record is from RNAcentral.
CCUACGGGUGGCAGCAGUGAGGAAUAUUGGUCAAUGGUCGGGAGACUGAACCAGCCAAGCCGCGUGAGGGAUGAAGGUCCAGAGUAUCGUAAACCUCUUUUGCCAGGGAACAAAGCCGGGGACGUGUCCCCUGAUGAGUGUACCUUAAGAAAAGCAUCGGCAAACCCCGUUCCAGCAGCCGCGGUCACACGGAGGGUGCGAGCGUUAGCCGGUUUUAUUUGGUUUAAAGGGUGCGCAGGCGGUCUGUUAAGGUCGAGGUCAAAGACCGGGGCUAAAACCCGGCCCGCCGUUGAAACUGGCAGUCUAGAGUUGGAUAGAAGUAUGCGGAAUGCGCGGUGUAGCGGUGAAAUGCAUAGAUAUCGCGCAGAACUCCGAUUGCGAAGGCAGCAUGCCGGCUCCACACUGACGCUGAGGCACGAAAGCGUGGGUAUCGAACAGGAUUAGAUACCCCUGUAGUC